AACGAACGCUGGCGGCAUGCCUAACACAUGCAAGUCGAACGAGAUCUUCGGGUCUAGUGGCGCACGGGUGCGUAACGCGUGGGAAUCUGCCCUUUGGUUCGGAAUAACAGUUGGAAACGACUGCUAAUACCGGAUGAUGACGAAAGUCCAAAGAUUUAUCGCCAGAGGAUGAGCCCGCGUAGGAUUAGCUAGUUGGUGUGGUAAAGGCGCACCAAGGCGACGAUCCUUAGCUGGUCUGAGAGGAUGAUCAGCCACACUGGGACUGAGACACGGCCCAGACUCCUACGGGAGGCGGCAGUGGGGAAUAUUGGACAAUGGGCGAAAGCUUGAUCCAGCAAUGCCGCGUGAGUGAUGAAGGCCUUAGGGUUGUAAAGCUCUUUUACCCGGGAUGAUAAUGACAGUACCGGGAGAAUAAGCUCCGGCCAACUCCGUGCCAGCCGCCGCAGUAA
This 449-nucleotide ribosomal RNA is filed under the name uncultured bacterium. RNAcentral's name for it is "partial 16S ribosomal RNA". It matches the Rfam family "Bacterial small subunit ribosomal RNA", at positions 29 to 523 of the family's 1533-position model. The record is from RNAcentral.